UAUUCUGUGAUUGCUACUAAGGUUCAAGCAAAUAUUUUGUAUAUUUUUUUGGCCAAAAUAUUGUUAUUGUUAUUUGAGUUAUUUAAUGAAUGGCUGUUAUUUAUUUUGAAUUUAUUGAACCAUAAAAUAAAUUUUUGACUCUUCACAUUGAAUAAUCCACGUUAGAGUGAGCGUGUCGCCAUAAAAAUUGAUAACAUUGAAAAUAAAGCUUAUUAUUUUAACACAGAAGACAGUAAAUACACCAAAUUUAUUUAUUUCCAAAUAUUGAAAUUAUGCAUUUGUUAUUGUAUACAGCUAAUCAUUUUGUACCAUUUUCCCUACCAAACAGAUUAAGCCAGC
RNAcentral lists this long non-coding RNA (339 nucleotides) under Mytilus galloprovincialis (Mediterranean mussel). The record is from RNAcentral. Lineage: Eukaryota; Metazoa; Mollusca; Bivalvia; Mytilida; Mytilidae.